GAGAAGAACGUAGCGAAAUGCGAUAAGUAGUGUGAAUUGCAGAAUUCAGUGAAUCAUCGAAUCUUUGAACGCACAUUGCGCCCCUUGGUAUUCCAUGGGGCAUGCCUGUUCGAGCGUCAUUUGUACCUUCAAGCUCUGCUUGGUGUUGGGUGUUUGUCUCGCCUCUGCGUGUAGACUCGCCUCAAAAUAAUUGGCAGCCGGCGUAUUGAUUUCGGAGCGCAGUACAUCUCGCGCUUUGCACUCAUAACGACGACGUCCAAAAGUACAUUUUUACACUCUUGACCUCGGAUCAGGUAGGGAUACCCGCUGAACUUAAGCAUAUCAAUAAGCGGAGGA
This 336-nucleotide unclassified non-coding RNA is filed under the name soil metagenome. Its description in RNAcentral is "partial contains 5.8S ribosomal RNA, internal transcribed spacer 2, and large subunit ribosomal RNA". The stretch from base 3 to 119 matches the Rfam family "5.8S ribosomal RNA", at positions 38 to 154 of the family's 154-position model. The record is from RNAcentral.